This 22-nucleotide non-coding RNA is filed under the name Arabidopsis thaliana (thale cress). The record is from RNAcentral. Lineage: Eukaryota; Viridiplantae; Streptophyta; Magnoliopsida; Brassicales; Brassicaceae.
CGACGAGGUGAUCGGUCUCGGC